GAACCUACAUGUGUAGGAUAGGUGGGAGGCUAUGAAGACGUGACGCCAGUUGCGUUGGAGUCGUCCUUGAAAUACCACCCUUGUAUGUUUGAUGUUCUAACUUAGACCCAUUAUCUGGGUUGAGGACAGUGCCUGGUGGGUAGUUUGACUGGGGCGGUCUCCUCCCAAAGAGUAACGGAGGAGCACGAAGGUGGGCUAAUCACGGUUGGACAUCGUGAGGUUAGUGCAAUGGCAUAAGCCCGCUUAACUGCGAGAAUGACGGUUCGAGCAGGUGCGAAAGCAGGUCAUAGUGAUCCGGUGGUUCUGUAUGGAAGGGCCAUCGCUCAACGGAUAAAAGGUACUCCGGGGAUAACAGGCUGAUACCGCCCAAGAGUUCAUAUCGACGGCGGUGUUUGGCACCUCGAUGUCGGCUCAUCACAUCCUGGGGCUGAAGUCGGUCCCAAGGGUAUGGCUGUUCGCCAUUUAAAGUGGUACGCGAGCUGGGUUUAGAACGUCGUGAGACAGUUCGGUCCCUAUCUGCCGUGGGCGUUGGAAGAUUGAAGGGGGCUGCUCCUAGUACGAGAGGACCGGAGUGGACGAACCUCUGGUGUUCGGGUUGUGUCGCCAGACGCAUUGCCCGGUAGCUAAGUUCGGAAUUGAUAAGCGCUGAAAGCAUCUAAGCGCGAAGCGAGCCCUGAGAUGAGUCUUCCCUGAUACUUUAAGUAUCCUAAAGGGUUGUUCGAGACUAGAACGUUGAUAGGCAGGGUGUGUAAGCGUUGUGAGGCGUUGAGCUAACCUGUACUAAUUGCCCGUGAGGCUUAACCAU
RNAcentral lists this ribosomal RNA (805 nucleotides) under Vibrio cholerae. Its description in RNAcentral is "partial 23S ribosomal RNA". It matches the Rfam family "Bacterial large subunit ribosomal RNA", at positions 2126 to 2925 of the family's 2925-position model. Lineage: Bacteria; Pseudomonadati; Pseudomonadota; Gammaproteobacteria; Vibrionales; Vibrionaceae. The record is from RNAcentral.